Non-coding RNA from Chiloscyllium plagiosum (whitespotted bambooshark), 246 nucleotides. Lineage: Eukaryota; Metazoa; Chordata; Chondrichthyes; Orectolobiformes; Hemiscylliidae. The record is from RefSeq and is a predicted model, not a curated record.
CAGUCCAGGAGUCACUUCCCCGCGACAGUGUCUGCUCCGGGAUUCACCAGAGUCGGCCUUUGGUCUGGAGUCAGCUCCUCCAUUCUCCUCUGGAUUUUCAUCAUCUGCAGUGUUUUGGCUUUAUAUUGUUGUCGUCUCUGGCUCCUCACAGUUGUAAUAACUCCUAACAGUUUAACUAAUGAUGUACCAGAGGAGAACUUGAAGCUUUCUUUAGCACAUUACACUUCACGGGGGAAUCUGCAUUGU